Phocoena sinus (vaquita) is the source of this 1688-nucleotide long non-coding RNA. The record is from Ensembl. NCBI's taxonomy places the organism in Eukaryota, Metazoa, Chordata, Mammalia, Artiodactyla, Phocoenidae.
GAAGGUAUAUUUACAAGACACAAACGGGUGUGCACGAGGAUGAGAAGGUCAGUACAUCAAGAUGACACAUAAUGAUCCUAUGUGUAUACGCAUCUAGGUAAUAGAGAUUCAAGAUAUGUGAUGCAAACAUGAUACAACUGGAGGAGAAAACAGAUCCACUCUCGUUGGAGAUUUAACACACUGCUCUCAGGAACCGAUGGAACAAGCAAAAAAAUUAGCAAGGCUAUAGACGAUGCGACACUAUCGACCAACGUGACCUGACAUUACAGAACACUACGCCCAACAACAGCAGAAUAUCCGUUCUUUUCAGGUGCACGUGGGGUGUUCAUCAAGCUAGACCGUGUGCUGGACCACAAGUUGGAAAAGAUUUAUCACAGAAAUGUUCUCAGACCAUGGCCAAAAUUAAAAUUAGAACUCAGGGACUUCCCUGGUGGUCCACUGGGUAAGACUGCGCUCCCAAAGCAGAGGGCCCGGGUUGGAUCCCUGGUUGGGGAACUAGAUCCCGCACGCGUGCCGCAACUAAGAGUUCACAUGCCGCAUCUAAGAAGUCUGCAUGCCACAUCUAAGGAAUGUGCAUGCUGCAAGUAAAGAUCCUGCAUGCUGCAACUAAGACCAGGCGCAGCCUAAAUAAAUAAAUAAAUGAUAUUUUUUUAAAACCUCUAAUUAAUUGUUAAAAAAUCAACAGCAAUAAUUACACAAAAGUCUCCAUAUUAAAAUUAUCUUGGAAGUUAAACAACAUACUUGCAAAAAACCCAUGGGUCUAAAAAAAAACAAUCACAAGGGAAAUUAUAAAAUAUUUUCAGCUGAAUGACAGAACACAAUAUCUCAAAAUUUAUGGGAUGCGGCUAAAGCAGUGCUCAGAAGAAAAAUUAUAGCUGUAAAUGCCUCUACUAGAAGGUUUAAGGUCAACAAUCUGAAUUUCCAUUAUAAGAAUACAGAGAAAUAAAAACAUUUAAUCCAAAACAAGGAAAGGAGGAAAUAAUAAAGAUAAGACCAAAUAUCAAUGAAAUGGGAAACAGAAUCAACAAAGCCAAAAAUUGGUUCUUAAAAAUAAUAGGUACGCUCUAGCAAGACUGAUCAAGGAAAAAAAAAAAAAAAGCAAACACAAGUUACCAAUAUCACGAAUGAGACAGAGGAUGAAAUCUUACAGCCAUCAAAAGGAUAUUGUGAAAAACUUUAUGGCAAUAUACUUGACAGCUUGGAUGAAAUGUAUAAAUUUCUUAAAAAACAACUUUAUGAAACCAAUGCAAGAAGUAGUUGAAAAUCUGAAUAUUCCUAUAUCUAUUAAGAAGUUGACUUUAGUCAAAAACCUUCUCGCAAAGAAAAUCCUAGGCCCAGUUGAUUUCAUUAGUGAAUUCUAACAGACUCUUAAGGAUGGAAUACUAAAAUUCCAUAGAAACUUUCAGAAGAAUAGAGGAGGGGAGGACACUUUCCAACUCACUUCAGGAGACCACCGUGACCCUGUUCUAAGAUCUGACAGUGAUCUUACAAGAAAAUAAAAGUAGAGGUCAGUUCUCCUCAUGAACAUAGGUACAAAAUUCCUGAACAAAAUAUUAGCAAAUUGAAUCCAGUAAUAUUUUAAAAGGAUAAUAGAGCAUGACCAAGUGGUGUUUGUUCCAGGAAUACAAGGUUAAUCUAACAUUUGAAAACCAAUCUAUAUAAUUCAACAUAUUAGCAAAAUAAAGGAC